Molecule: long non-coding RNA, 692 nt
Organism: Theobroma umbraticum
Lineage: Eukaryota; Viridiplantae; Streptophyta; Magnoliopsida; Malvales; Malvaceae
Source: RefSeq, a predicted model, not a curated record
UAUAGAGUUCUCAAUUGAUUUUAUGACACCAGCGAAGACAAUAGGCAGGCUGAACGAAGAAAUAAAGAAGCAUUUGGAGACCAAUACCUUGUGGCAUCCUAACCACCUUGUGGUUGUGAAGGAGAUUGAGAAUGUCAAUAAGAUAAAGAUGGCUCUCUAUUGUAAUCAUACAAUGAACUUCCAGGACUUUAGAGAGAAGAACAGGCGUAGAACUGAAUUGGUCCUUGAAUUGAAGAGAAUUUUUGAGGAGCUGGGUGUAAGAUACAAUCUCCUUCCCCAACAUGUGAAUCUCAACCAAGUGAAUCGAGACAGGCCAGAAGCAACAUACGAGACCACCUGAUUGCUCAAGAAUGCCUUAUAUGAUUGGGAUGGCAACAGGCAGGUACUGUUAUGGGAGCUCGGCCAAGAGUCGUAAUCAAGCCCUUUAGUUGCUAUAAUCUUAACAUGGGUGAGAGAAGAAUGAUCACGCACAAAUAGGAAGGCAUUUUCAUGGUGGUAAAUAUAAGUAAAUAUUUAGUUCUGUGAUAUUUUCAAAUGUAAGCUUAUUAGUGUAUCUAUGGACUUGAAAGGGUUAAGACCACGGAUGCUAUGUAGCAUUAUGGAUUGGUUCAAGUUUUGUUUCCCUUGUUAAGUCUUAAAAUAAGAUGAAUGCAUUUUGACUUUUGCCAUGAUUCAAGUCUGUAAUCCCAUAU